CCUACGGGGGGCUGCAGUGAGGAAUAUUGGUCAAUGGACGAGAGUCUGAACCAGCCAAGUAGCGUGAAGAAUGACUGCCCUAUGGGUUGUAAACUUCUUUUAUAUGGGAAUAAAAUGUUCCACGUGUGGGAUUUUGUAUGUACCAUAUGAAUAAGGAUCGGCUAACUCCGUGCCAGCAGCCGCGGUAAUACGGAGGAUCCGAGCGUUAUCCGGAUUUAUUGGGUUUAAAGGGAGCGUAGGUGGAUUGUUAAGUCAGUUGUGAAAGUUUGCGGCUCAACCGUAAAAUUGCAGUUGAAACUGGCAGUCUUGAGUACAGUAGAGGUGGGCGGAAUUCGUGGUGUAGCGGUGAAAUGCUUAGAUAUCACGAAGAACUCCGAUUGCGAAGGCAGUUCACUGGACUGCAACUGACACUGAGGCUCGAAAGUGUGGGUAUCAAACAGGAUUAGAUACCCUUGUAGUC
RNAcentral lists this ribosomal RNA (460 nucleotides) under uncultured bacterium. Its description in RNAcentral is "partial 16S ribosomal RNA". It matches the Rfam family "Bacterial small subunit ribosomal RNA", at positions 338 to 795 of the family's 1533-position model. The record is from RNAcentral.